GUCAUUGUUAUUAUUAAUGAUUUAAAAUUGAAUUAUUGAUCUUAGAUAUUAAUUGAUAAUCAGCAUUAUUAUAAUUAAUAAGAUAUUGAUUACAUUUUAUGACUCUUUUUAUUGAUUACGUAGUCAUUACUAUAUUUUUUAUUUUGUCUAUCUAUUGUUUUAUUUGAAAACAGGUGAAUAAAUGGCUACAAUAUACACAACAAUAAUUAAGGACAUCACUCCAACUACAGAAAGUUAGAAGAUUGAAAUGAGAGUGUUAGAAAAAUCUGAAAAGCGGACAAGCAAGAGUUCACCACUCAAAUAUCAAAAGCUUAUGUUAGCAGAUAAAAAGGGUAAUGAUGUUGAAGCAGUAAUAUUUGGCACUGAAAUUGAUGCUAGAGAAAACACUUUGGAAGUGUUCCACACUUACUACAUCAGCAA
This is a long non-coding RNA of Cannabis sativa, 420 nucleotides long. RefSeq lists it as uncharacterized. NCBI's taxonomy places the organism in Eukaryota, Viridiplantae, Streptophyta, Magnoliopsida, Rosales, Cannabaceae. The transcript has 2 exons. The record is from RefSeq and is a predicted model, not a curated record.